AAGAGGAAGGAAGAAAUGGAAAGUGUAAGCCAAUGAAAGAAAGAACCAGUCACAUCGAAGCAACUUGAAUGUUUAUAAAGGAAAAUCAUAGAAGAAUGGACAUCCUUUACUCUUGAAAAGUUUAUGAAUAAGCUGCAUGUCAAAGCAAUAUCAUAAUCACAAAGUAGAGAAGAUAAUCCAUUGUUUUCUUGUAUAAAGUCAUUAGCAUUCUAACUUAUUCAUUCAUUUGUAAAUCACACAUUGAAAAGAAAACAAUUAGCACACUCUUUCACAUAUCUGUGAUAAGUCCUCAGGCCUACUCAGGAAGCUGUUGAAAAUGGGCAUGCUGAUUUGUUAUUAAUGCUUAUAUAUUUUAGAAAAAGCAUCCAAUUUAGAAAUUAAAUUGAUUUUUUUUUCUUUUUACAAAAUGAAAGUCAUUACUACAGGAGGUAGGGAGACAAGCAGGCAGACAAACAAGACAGCAGGGCAGAGCCCUGACUGGGGCAUAGGAUCUGUUCACAUCCCAUUUCUGUUGAAGGAAGAUUAUAGCCUAAGAGCAUACAGUAGAGGGUUGGAUUAGAACCUCCCAUCAGAAGCCAUCAAGAGGUAUUCUCUUUCCCCUGUUCUCUUGCACUUGUUUCUUUCACAAGUUUUUUCAGCAUUUUUGGGUACUCUGUUGUACAACCUAAAAUAAAUUAGGCAUCUAAUAAUAGUUUUCUUAAGGAGGCAAAAGGAAAAAAAAGUAGAAUUUGUAUUUCUCAUGUUUCUAAUACGGAUUCUUCUUUUAAAAGUAGCCCCAAGAAUGCAUCCUUAUUCUUUCAGCAUAAGAAUAUGCUGUCAGCUCUGGGGACACUAAGAUGAAUAGGGCACAACCUUACUUGCUAGGUUCUCAUAAUCCAGUUGGCUGCUCAGGAUAAGUCAAGCAUAAAGACAUUAUCAAGGCCCUGUGGGAAUUCAGAAGGGAGGAAAUUUAUUCCUGCUAAGGGACUCAGGGAAGGCUUCCUGGAAGAGGACAAUCAGAGCUGGACUUUGGCAGAUAGGUAGGAUCUGCACAUGAAGAGAUGGGAGGAGAUGGAGGCAGCUGUCACAUAGUUGAGAAAUCAUGUGAUGUGUUGGCUAACAGAACGCACUUUUUUCUUGGAGUCUGAGGCUUGGGAAGGGAAAUGACGGGAGGUCAGGUUAGCAAUAUAAGUUGAAGCUAGAUUGGUAGGGACAGCCUUGAAUGUCAGGCCAAUGUCUUUGGGACUUUAUAGGUAGUGCUAAGACAUAUCCAGAGAAUUAGCUAGGCAGUGUCACGAACAGAUAUUUAUAGCAUAUUGUGGCAAGAAACAUGAGUGCAGGAUGGUUGGAGGCCUUGAGGAGGGAGCCGCUAAGCUGCCAAGGUGUGAAAGCUGGAGCAUCGUCAAGGAAGCUUGCAUGAAAGUGAUGACAUUUUGCUGAACCUUGAAGGAUGGAUAUGAAUUCCCCAGGGAAUAGGUUGGGAAAGGACAUUUCAGGCAGAAAGAAUAGCACCUGCAAAGUCCCAGUGGUCUAUGAGGGAAUGUUAUGCUGAAGAAUGGCAAUUACUGUGAUGUAGAGAAUGCAGGUAUCUGGGAAUUGGGUAGCAAGAGACCAAGCUAGGAAGAGGGCAAAGACCAGAUCCCAGCAGAACUAGUAGGCCUGGCUGGGUGGUUUCAACUUCAAGGGCUGUAUGCAGGAAACAAUUGUGAUGUGUGCUUUUAGAAAUAUCAUGCUAGCAGUGGUGAGGAGGAUGCAUUAGCAUAAAUGAGAAAGGCUUAGCUUGCUGAGUGGUAGGGUGGCAAUGGAACUAAAAUACGUAAAGAAACAGUGUUUGGGGCUUAGAGAGAGUCUGGGCAAGACAGAGGGUGGACUGAAAGGAUUUAGGGGGAAUGGUUUUUAUACUUUAAUUAAUGCUGUGGUUUUCACAAUAGGUCUCUUUGUUUCAAAGGAAAUCUUACGCAAACUCCAUGAAAGAUAAGGGCCAAGCUGCAUGGAGUUCAGGUGGGAAUUGGGCUUGGAUCCAAGCCUGCUUGUUCCCUUGAAAUCCUGCAAUUUCGUGAUGGCUCCUGAGGUACCUCUUUGAACCCUUUGUAGUUCAGCAAAUGCAGUUUGAAAGCCACUGCCCUGAAAAGAUUCAUGUGCUCCACCAAAAACCCAGGCCUUUGCCCUCCAUGCUGCUGGGAGAGGGAAACUGGCCUCUUGCUGUCAUGGUUGGGCACCGAAAAAGGCAGGCUUAUCUAGGGACAAUGAACUUGAUCUCUUUUAGAGGCUCUCACUGAUCCUGGUGGCUCACUGAUGAGGCAUCUGGAGUAUUCUUUGAUACCUAGGGACAUUGUAGUUCCCAAGGCAUUUUGAACAAUCGUUUGUAGUCCAAUCAGGCCGAAUUCAUGAAAGGAAUUUCUGGGUUCUAGGUAGAAAGCAGGGCCAGACGCAGUGGCUUAUGCCUGUAAUCCUAGCUCUUUGGGAGGCUGAGGCAGGAGGAUCCCUUGAGACCAGGAGUUCAAGCUGUGAUUGCACCUCUGUACCCCAGCUUGGGCAACAGAGCAAGAUCCUGUCUCUUUAAAAAAUACAAGCAAGCAAGCAGGGGAUAAAAGAGGUGCCUAGGCCAGAGAUAAGCAAGGGGAGCUGGAGACAGGGCCAUUGUACAGGGAUGUCUGGCCCUCGGGGUCAGUGAGGCUGAUAUUCAGACAGUGCUUUUGGCAGCUGAUGAGGAGCUGCACUCUUCCAGAGGGAUUACCUUUUUCUAAUUCAUAGAAAGGCACCUUAUGCUCUAGCAUUGGAUAUUUGGGAAGAUAGCAUGAAGAGGUGGUGAAGAGCAAGAGAUAAAUGGGGAG
RNAcentral lists this long non-coding RNA (2813 nucleotides) under Homo sapiens (human). RNAcentral describes it as "HSALNT0286847". Lineage: Eukaryota; Metazoa; Chordata; Mammalia; Primates; Hominidae. The record is from RNAcentral.